CCCAGUCUUGAGUAUGUCUUUAUCAGCAGUGUAAAAACGGAUGAACAUACACCGUAAAUGUGACUUUUAUCAUUCAUUUAAGCAUCCUGUUUAUAAAAAUGUAAAUAAUCCAUUUUCACAUAUGCUGUGUUUUCGAUAAAAUAACUUGCUUAAAUCCAAUCCUGGCAUCAUAGAUAAUUUAAGCCAUGGUUUUCUGAUCCCGUCCUCUUUUGUGACUCCAGUCCCACAGACAGGAACCAAAGCCAGCAGAACAAAGCAGCCCCAGAUGUGUUCUACUCUAUUAUCUGAAGUAAAUGAAAAUCAACCCUGAGAAAUAUCAAUAAUAGUGGAAAGUCUCCCACUCUACUUCUACAUAUAUCCUAGUACUGUGUGUGUCAAUCUCAUAUUCUACUGUUGGCCAUGCUGUGUUUCACUGAGAAAAUGGCAAUACUGGUGCUGCUUAUAUAUAAGGUAGGAUUCCCCUCUCACAGAUAGCCACAGCUUUCUUUAAAAGAAGGUACAUUUCCCGAGGAUUAAUCAUUAGGGAAAUUAUUGGUUUCUCCAUUAGCCAGAGUUGUGCAUCACCAGCAACAGAAACCAGCUAUAGCUGACUUAAAGGGAAAAGAAACAUAAAUAUUGGAUAGCUCACAAUAUCAUAAAGAUGACUGAAGAGAUGGUGAGAGAAACAUAAACUAUUUGUAAAUUCUACUCAUUUCCUCCAUAAAAGGGAAUGCAAAAUGUCAUUGAUUUGGGUUAGUUGUACUUCCUAUAUUACAUAAGUAUCACGAUUUGGGGUGACUUUUUACAAGGAGAUAGCAUUAUUUAAUCGUUUUUGAUUUGGGGAGUUAAAAAAGUAUCUUUGCUUUUUGUGCUGGUAGGUGCAUUAUAGGGUCUAAAGUUUUUUUCCUACCUUCCUUCUCACAGGUAGAGAACCUCCUUCUACUACCAUCAAAGUCCUUGAUCUGUUUCCCAACAUGAAUUAACCUUUCCAUGUUUUCGUUACAUUUGAACAUCAGGAAUGUGUAGACGGAAGCAGUUCAUCCUGGGAGGACUUCAAGCAGUAGAAUGAGGCCAACCUGCAAAACUGACCUGUCAUGCCCUGCCUCACCAUCUUAUCCAGUCCUGGACUCAACCAGCUGAACUAAUCCCUAAACCACCAAGUCUACCUUAGAAAAACAGUUCUGGAGGCUGCAAGUCCAAGAUCAAGGUGUCACCAUCAUUGGUUGCUUCUGGGGGCUGUUGAGAAAGAACGUGUUCCAUGCCUCCCACCUAGCAUCUAAAGGACCUAAAUGAAAGUGAUAUUCCUGCCUCUCUCUACCCAUUUUCCUUCCUGGAAAGCAGAAGUGACAUCUUAUUGAUGAGUUGUGGAGAAGCUGCUGAACAUGCAUCUGUAUUUGGGAGACUGUCUGCAGAGAGUACAUAUUCUCAGCUCCUACAAGCUAUAAAGCACUUAGGAUCCAUUGUGUCAGAGCGUGUAACAGGGACCAUGUAAGAGUUUCUAUUUAUAUUUUAUUAUAUUAAUAUCUAUUUACUUUACAUUUUAUUUUUUUAUAAAACAGAAACCUGAAAGAAAUAUGGCAAAAUGUUGAUACUUAAAUAUUAGUAUUGGCUACAUGAGUGUCAUCUUGUUUGCUUUGUUUUUUUAUAUGUUUAAAAAUUAAAUACAAAAAUGUAUGCAACUAUAAGAGUCUAAUAAAUAAAAAUGUAUAAAACUAUAGGUGAUUAAAAAAAUUUAUCUAUUAUUUUUUCUAUCUACAGCAACUCAACAUUUCCUACUAAAUACGGUAAUGACAAUUAUAAUCUCCUAUUUAAAUGUAUUAUAUACAUAUAUUCAGCCUUUAGAAGUGGCUUUAAAGUGCAUCAUUUGAAUUUAUUAAGGGCAUUGCUCUAGAUUGCACGUCUGGUAAGUGCUGUUUGUGGGACUCUAAGGCAUGUCUUCUGAAUACAACUUCUAUGCUUUUUAAAGACACUUAACAGACAAACAUAAUUAGAAUGCUAUGGAGUUUGAAAUGUUCAUUAUAUUGUCUUUUUAAAAAAUCAGAAUAUAUAAGAAAAACCAUUUAGAAAAACAAACCAUUUCGAUGAAAGCUUGAUGAUAGCAACACCCAAAAAAGGCAGCAACAGCCCAGAUGUCCUCAUAGGUGGACAUUUUUCUCUACACCUUCUUCACCAGACACCAUUUUUCCGCAAAUUACUGCAUCAAUGCUCCAAUUCUCUGUUAUCUUUCCUAUAUUCCUUUAUUCACUUUGUUCCUUCUUCUUACAGAAGUCAAUUCUUGCUUCUCUAGCACAAUGUGCUCAGACUUGUCCUACAAAUAAGAGAUUCUAGGCCUGUUUACCCCACAAACUGGACAGCAUCCAUGUAUCCUCCCCACUUGCCAUUUUUGUUUCUAAUGAUCCCUGGAUCACCACAUAAUCCUCUAACAUUGACCCACUGACCUGGAACUAAUGUAGUAGACCUGGAUCCACUGACUCACUGAUCUAAUGUAGUCUCUACUAGUCUCUAUUAGUUUUCCUUACUUCAAGAAUGCAAACAAAAUGUCGAAUAUUAUCCCCUAAAAUUAAAGUAAAACUCCUGACAAUGUUUAAAAAACAGGAGUGUAUAACUGUCAUUACACUGCUACAUUCUGAAUCACUGAUUAGAAUUUGGAAGUGGAAAUUUGAAGAUACAGGUUUUUUUUUGGUAUAGGUAUGUAUUCUGUGUCCUAAAUUUACCUGUAUUUCAGAAAUAUAUCAUGGAAGCUACAUUCAAUAUUAAACAGAUUAUUUUAUUAUUAAAGAAAUAUCAUUCCAGAAUUUAAUGUAUCAUCAAUAAAGCUCUCCAAAGAAAACUGCAUUUUGUGCUUGUACACCUUCUUUAGCAGCCGCUUCUUGUACUAUAGUUUGAGUAAAACUAAAAUUAUGCCCCUACCGUUGACUAAAUUUCCCAAAGCAUUGGAUGUUUAAUUGAAAUUUAUUUAUAUUAUUUUAAGUUUUCCCAGCAUAUGGAAGAAAAGUGAAGUAUCUCUGAAAGAAAGGAAUUUAAAAUGUUGUUAAAAGUAUUUAACAUUAAGUAUUUAUAUUUUGCCUAAAUAAGACAGUAUUAACUACUGCUUUCCCUUAGGCAAGGCAUAAAUAUCUCAUAUACGAGAAUAAAAAGAAAGUAAACUAUUAUUGAAAUCAAUACAAAAGGAAAAAAGCUAUAUCAUAUUUGUCUAUAAAAAGUAGAAAUGACUUCAGCAAAUGAGCUGAAGUUCAAUAUAAAUUAAAUUAAAAUUUCAAUGUCAUUCAUGCAUGUGUAUAUAAACGUAACUGAAACAAAGACAGAAAUGUUAAUAGUUACUAUCUCUGGGUAAUGAGAUUAUGACUUAUUCCUAUUACUUACUUUAUAAUUUACUAAUUUUGUAAAUUUUCUGAAAUGGGCAUGUGUUACCACAGUAAUAAAAAAUUUAUUUAAAAGAUAACACCAUCUAUGCUAUAAAAACCUAUAUGUGCAUUUCUAGUAACAUUGCCAAUACAGUGAAUCUAAGACUUAAGUCAUGAGCAUUGUCCUGUUGUCAGAAAUAUAUGUCAACAUGUUGUGGUCCUCUGCUGAAAUACAUGAGAUCCUGAAUUAUAUUUUGAAGAAAAAUAAGUAGCUAAUAUCAGUGCCCCCUAACAUGACUCAAGACCACCAGACUUUGAGAUACAAAAUGCAAGAAUUUAAAAAGUUUAGUUUCAUACUGUUAAAAACAAUCAAUAUAGAAGAAAAAGGAAAAUAUGCUUUUUAUAUGUAGCAGUUUUGUUUUAAGGUAGGAUUCCUCAGUAUGCACAUAUACACAUAACACAUCACUUAACAUUGAAAGAGAAACACAGGUGUCAGUGAAAGGAUGGGCAACUGACUCCUACUUAAUAGGAUGAUUCCUCUUAAUGCCUACAGAGAGAGUAGAAUCAUAUUAUCUCAAGGCAUGGAUUCUUAUCCCUACCUAUUAUACCCAGUAGGACCAUAGGCCAAUUACCAUUACAAUGAACCCCAGGGAUUUUUCCAAUUCUCAGGUUAUACUGAGUUGUUUUCAUACCCAGGAGUCAACAGUUAACCAGUAAAUACUUCUUGCUUUCCUUCUGUGUUUCACGCGCUGAUCUAGGAGCUGGGAAUAUGGAAUGUGUACCACAGGAAGCUAACAUUCUAAAAAGGGAGGCAGGCAAUCAACACAUAAAUAAAUACUGCAUAAGACAAUUUCAGAUACAGGUGUGAACUGAGAAGAUGAAAUAGGAUAAUGAGAGGGUAUGUGAGGAGAAGGUUGUUGCUAUAGUUAUGAUAGUUAAGGAGUGUCUCUUUAAAGAGAGGAGAAGAAAUGAUCACUGUAAGGUCGAUGGUCUGAGUAACUAGGUGGAUGGUGAUAUCAUUUUAAGGUGAUUGGUAAGCUUGCCUGGGUGGGAAGUGGAUUUCAUCAGUCUGUGUGGGAAAUCACUCAUUCUAAUUCGGUCCAGUUCAUUUUAAUAUGUGAAUUAGUCAUCCAAGUGGAAAUAUGGAAUAGGAUAUAUGAGUCUGUAGCUCUGCAGAGAAUCACAGGAUGGGCGAAAGAUUUUUUUUAAAAAAUAGUUAGAGUCAUAAAAGUUCAGAUACAGAAGAUAACAGGAAAAGAGGCUCUGAGCACGGCAACAAAGGUUUGGUAGGGAAGGAGUACCAAGAGAAGACACUGAGAAGGUGUAGACAUGGGGUAGUGAGAAAACUAGGUGAAUGUGGUGCCAAAAAUUUAAAGAAGAAAAUGUUUAAAUGAGGGAGUUCUCAGCCUAUUCAAAUGCUUCUGAGAGGAUAAGGAGAGAAAACUGACAGUGAUUUUAUUUUAGCAGGGCACAAUGAUGACCUUGAUAAGAACCGUUUGAGUGGAGUAAACACUGACUGGAGUGAGUUGAAGAGAAAAUAAGAGGUGGAAAAAAUACAGAUACAUACCGGAUAAGAUUUUACAAUACCUCAAAGGCUUAUUUCUGAAGGUAGUCAACUGAGGACUGUCCUAUAAAAAUUAAGGGGCAGAUUCACUGUGAGACAAAGCUAUCUCGAAGUAAUCUCAAGCAAAAUCAGAAGUGAAAAAAAAGUAGAAAUGAGGGCUGGCAUAGAAGGUAAUUUACUAUCUAGUUACAACUCUAGUUAGAUUAAUCAGGGAACUCUGUGGCUGUUGUCCUUAUACCUUACAGUGAGGAGCAUAGUUUCAAAAUGCUUGUCAGGAUACUUAAAAACUAUACCCUAUAUCCUUGAUAGAAAUAACCAAAAGUAGAAGAGGGCUACUUCUGUUAGCAAUUACAGCAGUUUGCAAGGAAGAGAGACUUCCUUCUCACAAUUCUAAGACAGGAGACCGUCUCAAGAUAGAAAAUGGCUACAAAUAAAUAUAGUAAAUUCCACAAGAGGCCAUCAAACUUAACGUAACUGAAGCCAAUUAUUUUUUCUGUAAGUAUACAUGGACCUCUUUUUCCCCAAGGGAAUCAUGGCUCUGUUUGGACUUUCCUGUUAGGAAUUUUUAAAAGUAAGGUUUUACUUCUGGCAUCUAGAAUAAAACAAGACAAGAGCUUAUGUAUUAUCAUGAAUAAUAUUCGUUUCUUCCACAAUAAUUUAUUUAUUUCCUGUUGGGUUCAGCUCUGAAAUGUCAGAUUGUUAUGUGGCAAGUUCAGAAGAUGAUUCAAGCCAUACAAAUGAGAAAUACGCUUUAUUCUUAGUGCCAAUGUCUAAAAGAAAGCAAAGUAAUUUAAAUCAGUAAAAACUUUUAAUUCUAAAGAAGCAGGCAGAACUUGAAAUCUCUUCAUUAGCUCUCUUACUAAUAGUAGUUACGUUUAAAAAGAAAAGGUAUCAGGGAUGGUCACUGCUGUAUCCCCAGUGCCUACAAUGAUGCCUGGCUCAUCCUGUAUGACUGAUGAAUAUCAUGUAUUACCUAACAUAAUCUUUAUAACAAUCCUGUUCAUGAAGAUUAUGGGAGAUAAUGUGUGUUAUUCAUGCAUAUAAACUCUGUGAGUGAAUAUUAUUUUCUCUGUCUUAGAAGUGAUGAGAAAGGUUUUUUAACUUGGUCAGUUUACAAAGCAAGUAAGGCAGAGAACAAGAUUUGAAGAUAGGUCUUUCUUUUUCAAAUGUCUCUGCCCUUGGCCAAGCUGCAAAAAUGCCUUAAGUAGGUGAUUUUGAUUUCUGUUAACUGGCCAUGAAAAGUAUCAUGUUAACUCUAUAUUGAAGUAAUCUAUUUAAAGGCAAUUUUUAUAAUCCUCAUGUGUCUUUACUCUUACAGAUACAAAGGAUAAUGUUUCCUUGUAUAAGCCAUACUUUGAAUUAUCUCACACUUAAUAAUUCAACUCGGUUUCCACAGUGAAGUGGCAGAUUCACUAUUAAACUUCUCCUAUUCACAGGUCCUACACCCCAUCCUCCAUUCUUUGAGCACCCUAUCCUCCCUCCAUUCUCUCCUCAUUCUUUGAGAGGACAGUGUGGCAGUCCUCCCAGAACAAUUAUCUCUGUUUCUGGGCAGAUUCAGAGCUAUUGCUGGCUGGAAAACACCCACAUAAUGAAUGCACCAUACCUGCUCCCAGGACUGGGCUUGCAAGACCCUACAGAGGUGGCCUUUCAGUUGCAUUAUAAUUCAGGUCCUAGGCACAGUGCUUGUUCCCCAGUGAGUUUGCUGGUAAAACAAUUAUUUCCCUGGUC
Molecule: long non-coding RNA, 6615 nt
Filed under: Homo sapiens (human)
Lineage: Eukaryota; Metazoa; Chordata; Mammalia; Primates; Hominidae
Description: HSALNT0323085
Source: RNAcentral